AAGGGAAAAGAGUGCUAAAUGC
This 22-nucleotide non-coding RNA is filed under the name Arabidopsis thaliana (thale cress). Lineage: Eukaryota; Viridiplantae; Streptophyta; Magnoliopsida; Brassicales; Brassicaceae. The record is from RNAcentral.